GAUGAAGAACGUAGCGAAAUGCGAUAAGUAAUGUGAAUUGCAGAAUUCAGUGAAUCAUCGAAUCUUUGAACGCACAUUGCGCCCAUUAGUAUUCUAGUGGGCAUGCCUGUUCGAGCGUCAUUAAUUCCACUUAAGCCCUGCUUAGUGUUGGGAAUCUACUCUAGUGGUGCUACACUGGAGCUACCCCUGAAAGGGGGCUGGCCCGGUAGCUACCCUGUAGUUCCUCAAAGAUAGUGCGCGGAGUUGCGUGGUCCUCUGAGCUUAGUAACUAUACACCUAGCUUUUGAGUGUCCCGCGGCGCCUGCCGUUUAAACCCCAUCUUUUAAUGGUUGACCUCGGAUCAGGUAGGAAUACCCGCUGAACUUAAGCAUAUCAAUAAGCGGAGGA
RNAcentral lists this unclassified non-coding RNA (387 nucleotides) under soil metagenome. RNAcentral describes it as "partial contains 5.8S ribosomal RNA, internal transcribed spacer 2, and large subunit ribosomal RNA". The stretch from base 1 to 120 matches the Rfam family "5.8S ribosomal RNA", at positions 35 to 154 of the family's 154-position model. The record is from RNAcentral.